RNAcentral lists this ribosomal RNA (421 nucleotides) under uncultured eukaryote. Its description in RNAcentral is "bacterial SSU rRNA". It matches the Rfam family "Eukaryotic small subunit ribosomal RNA", at positions 592 to 1018 of the family's 1831-position model. The record is from RNAcentral.
CAAUAGCGUAUAUUAAAGUUGUUGCGGUUAAAAAGCUCGUAGUUGGAUUUCUGCCGAGGACGACCGGUCCGCCCUCUGGGUGAGUAUCUGGCUCGGCCUGGGCAUCUUCUUGGAGAACGUAUCUGCACUUGACUGUGUGGUGCGGUAUCCAGGACUUUUACUUUGAGGAAAUUAGAGUGUUCAAAGCAGGCCUUCGCUGUGAAUACAUUAGCAUGGAAUAAUAAGAUAGGACUGUAGUGCUAUUUUGUUGGUUUGCGUACUAUGGUAAUGAUUAAUAGGGAUAGUUGGGGGUAUUCAUAUUCAAUUGUCAGAGGUGAAAUUCUUGGAUUUAUGGAAGAUGAACUACUGCGAAAGCAUUUACCAAGGAUGUUUUCAUUAAUCAAGAACGAAAGUUAGGGGAUCGAAGACGAUCAGAUACCAU